This 5368-nucleotide long non-coding RNA is filed under the name Mytilus galloprovincialis (Mediterranean mussel). The record is from RNAcentral. Lineage: Eukaryota; Metazoa; Mollusca; Bivalvia; Mytilida; Mytilidae.
GGUGUUCUUCGUUCUUCACGGUCUCAAUGGAAAAUAUUCACGCUUUCACUUUUUGCUCAGAUAAUAGAACAUUGUAAACCUCUAACUGCAAAUACUGACCAAAAUGAAUCAAAUUCGAAAGCACGUAUGAUCCCGUUUCAUGCCGAUUGUAAGUUCUCUAAAAAGGAGGGUAAUUUCAAGGCCCCAAAAAUUGCAAAAUAUAGACUACUUACGCUACACGAAUUUUGCUGAACGUCGUGGGUUCAACUCAAAAGUGGACCCACUUUUACUGUUGGCUAUUUUAUACCUGGUGUAAUAUUUCAUUUGGAAAAAAAAUAUUUGUGUCCCUAAUUUCAUAUAAUAUGUACACCAAAAUGUACAUGUAAUAUUCAUAAAAAUUAAAUCUUUCAUAAACAUAAAAUACAAAGGGAAAGCGAUUACAGGCACAUACUCCUCUUUCCCAUAUAAAAAAAAAGAUAGCCAUCAUGCUUCCUCUAAAUUCAUAUCUCAUAUUUUAAAAGACCAGUCUGUACCAAUAAUUUCUUAUACCUAUACCAAACCUAUUGCAAUUAAAAUUUUCAAUGACAAACGCGUUUUGCAGAAUCUCGAUAUUGACGACUUCAAGUCUAAACCUCCUGAUUGCACUUGUGCUAGUUCCCAAUUCACAUAUAAUCCUGCUGGCCACGUUAUUACCGGUGACCUUAACAUUGUUAACAACACUUCUCUACAAAAUGUGUUAUCGAAAGGUCCGAAAUAUCGUGAGCCUGAAUCCAUCAAUUGGAAAUACAACUUUAAAAUUUUGAUGGACUCAGUCGAGGAUUAUGCCAGGCAAUGGGCUAAACGUGAAAAGAAGACGUAGAACACUCUUCCAAAUGGAUUAAGGCAGUGAGGUCGUUAAUACAAAUCAGAAUUAAGAAACUAAAUGGGUUCAUCAAUGCCCAUGCUACGUCAAUCUUUAAAGACCCAAAUGUUGCUAAACACUUAUCCGACCUCCAUGAUAAAUAUGUUGUUGUCCCCGCAGACAAAGCCCAAAAUAACAUCGUUUUUGUCUGUAAAAGUCACUAUAUUAAUUGCUGGAUAAACGAAUUAGGUAUAGACAAUUCACUUGGAAACUCAACAUAUACCAUCACGACACUUACCAAAGAGGAAAUCCUGGAUAAUCAUAGGUCUGUUCUUUAUUCCUUUGAUAUUUCAACCAAAGAUGAAGAACUGGAUCUUCCAUCACUGUAUUGGAUACCUAAACUACAUAAGUGUCCUUACCAACAACGGUAUAUUGUUGGGUCUUCCAAGGGCUCCACGAAACCUCUUUCUAAAUUAUGAACAUCUAUUUUAUCAGCAAUCAAAGUUAUUGUGAAACUGCCUAUUCUAGAGGUGGCGUGAAUCAGAUGUGGAUACUUAAAAAUUCCAAAGAUCUUUUAGAGUACAUACAAUUUAACUCUCUUUCAUCUUGUAACAGUAUUAAAACAUUUGACUUUUCUACUCUUUACACAAGUAUUCCACAUUCCAAACUAAAAGACAAAUUUAAAAAGUUGGUAUUACUUUGCUUCAUAAAAAAGAAUGGCCAACGUAAAUACAAGUAUCUUGUCUUAGGGAGGGAUAAAUCAUACUUUGUAAAGAAUCACUCUGAUUCAAACAAAAAAUUCUCUGAAACCGAUAUUAUCAAGAUGCUUGAUUUCUUGAUUGACAACAUAUUUGUAACGUUCGGAGGACGUGUUUUUAACAGACUGUCCGCAUUCCAAUGGGAACAAAGUGUGCCCCUCUACUUCCCGACUUGUUUCUUUAUUAUUAUGAGGCUGACUUCAUGCAGGAACUUCUUAGGAAGAAAGAUAAGAAGUUAGCAAAUCCUUAACUCUACUUUCCGCUAUAUAGAUGACGUUCUUUUUCACUAAACAAUUCAAAAUUUGGUGACUAUGUGGAACGCAUCUAUCCCUCGAAUUGGAGAUAAAGGAUACUACAGAUACAGUUAAGUCGGCUUCAUAUCUCGACUUACAUCUAGAAAUUGACAAUGAGGGUCUGUUGAAAACAAAACUUUACGACAAAAGAGAUGAUUUUAGCUUUCCAAUUGUGAACUUUCCAUUUCUAAGUAGCAACAUUCCAGCAGCACCUGCAUACGGGGUAUAUAUCUCCCAAUUGAUACGAUAUUCCGGUGCUUGCAUUUUCUAUCAUGAUUUUCUUGAAAGAGGGUUACUGCUCACAAGGAAGCUAUUAAACCAGGAGUUCCAAAUGGUGAAGUUGAAAUCAUCCCUUCGUAAAUUUUACGGACGCCAUCACGAGUUGGUUGACCGUUAUGGAAUAACCGUUUCACAAAUGAUAUCGGAUAUGCUCCUUACGUCGUAACUACAAUCCUCUUCCCUUUCAUGAAUGUGACCUACCGAAUUAGACUAUUUACCGGAUUUGUAAUCACAUAAGCAACACGACGACGGGUGCCACAUGUGGAGCAGGAUCUGCUUACCCUUCCGGAGCACCUGAGAUCACCCCUAGUUUUUGGUGGGGUUCGUGUUGUUUAUUCUUUAGUUUUCUAUGUUGUGUCAUGUGUUCUAUGGUUUUUCUGUUUGUCUUUUUCAUUUUUAGCCAUGGUGUUGUCAGUUUGUUUUAGAUUUAUGAGUUUGACUGUCCCUUUGGUAUCUUUCGUCCCUCUUUGAAAAGAAAUUUACACAUUGAAAUAACCACUGAAUCUGGCUACCAUUUCAGAGCUUACACAUGCAUUAAAAUGUAUCCCCAUGACCAGAAACUAUUACAAAUUUACCGUCUCACUAAUUAGCGACAAGAAUCGAGAAGAAGCGACAAGAAGAAUUAUUUUACCGACAAAAAACUAUUUAGCAACAAGAAAACAUUUUUUUCCUUAAAAUUACUUAUUCCAAAAAAGUAUUAAAGGAAUAUGCAAAAGAAAACAGCUUUAACAACAAAAAAUUUAAUAUUGAUACAAAAAAAAUUGGUAAAUUUUAUUACAUGAUAUUUUAUCAUUUAUUAUGUUUAACAUAAUAUUACGUUUACCCUGUUUAUUAUGAUAUUACUUUUACUUGUUUUAGAACAAUAAUAUAUUUAUCUUAUAAUUUGUUUUUUAAAAUUCUCUUUGUACAAUUUAUAAUAAACUUGCAGAAAAUACAGACACAAAUUGUGAAAUACAAAGAACUGAAAUCAGAGACAUGUAUAUACAUAUAUAUGUCUCUGCUGAAAUAAAAAAAAUAUCAAUUUAUUUCUGCCCGUAUAUUAAAAAAAAUUGAAUGUAUAUAUUUCUUUAUAUUUAAUAAAAAAAAAUGUGUUCUUGUCGCUAAAUAGUCUUCUUGACGCUUCUUGUCACUAAUUAGUGAGACCCCAAAUUUAAUAUGCCUGUACAGAUUCUUUAUAUCCAUUAUGUUAUAUUAUUCCUAUAGGCUAUAGUCAUAUAUAUAUACAAACUAAUCAUGCUAAUUAGAAAUGAUUAUCCAUUGAUAAUAUUAAUUACUUUCAAAAAGUGUACUCAAACUAUAUUAAUAUCAUAAUAUUAUCAAAUUAAUGGUGUUAUGACAGUGGUGGUUCAUGGAUUUAAAUUAAAACUAGGUUGUGAGUGCCCCCAAAAUCAAGGAUUUGUAUACAAAUCCUUGCCAACAUGUAUAAAAUUUCAGCUUGCAUUUAUUUAUGUACACUAUUAUAAUAUGUUUUCUUUGCCUGUAACUUUUAUGUAUUGAGCAGAAAUGCUAGAGGCAUAAUCAUUUAUAAUACAUUAUAAAUAUAUAAAAUUGAGAAUGGAAAUGGGUAAUGUGUCAAAGAAACAGCAACCCAACCAAAGAGCGGACAACAGCUGACGGCCACCAAUGGGUCUUCAUUGGAGCAAGAAAAUAUGUUUUUUCUUGGUAAUUUAUUUGGCAAAUUUUUAUUCAUGUGUUGAUAAUAACAAUGCAAAAUUAAUUUUGCUUAAUUUUGCUUUGAAUAAUUUAGUAUAAUUGAUUUAGUAGAUGUAUGUACAUUUGCUGUAUAUUUAACAGGAUGGAGAAGGCUGUUCACUAUGAAUCAAAAAUUCAAAACAGAGGACUUUUAUAUAUCAACAAAAACACUUGCAGAUCAUGCACAUAUAUGAUAUACAUACAGCAAGAAAACAGUAAUCAAAUGGAAUGUCAAAGACGAGUAAUGCUGAAAGCAAAAUUAUUUUAUUUAAAAUAGAAAACAAUAUGACUAGAAUAUAUUUAGGGUAAGUAAUCCAAUUGUGUCUGCUCAGGUUAACAUCAGUGGGUUAUUUACAAUGCGCUAUGAUUUCAAUCCCACAAAUAUGAAACAAACAUGAUAGACAUUAUGAAUAAACACUAUUUUGAUAAGGAAAUAGACUGAAAAUAUUUUACAUUUAACAGUCAGAUAAGAAAAUUGCCAAUGGAAUAAUUUUGGAAUGGAAGUUAAAAUUUAUAGUUUAUAGGUUCAAGAAUUAUACACAGACUUUAAGCCCAAAUGGUAUACUUUUAAUAAUUUAAAGAUUUAAUACUACAUGUAUUAUCUAUUCUGUAUAAUUUCAAGAUAGUUUCAUUUGGAUUUAAAACCUAAUUUCAAGAAUGAAGGGUACAGUAAUUUAAAAUUAAUUUAUAAAAAACAAUAUAAGGGAAUUAACUCUUACAAGAUGUGCAUCAUAUACAUGAGAAUAUCAAAAGUGUUUUUUAAAUAAACUUUACCAUUUUUUUCAGAUAAGAGAAUGUUAAGGAUGUCUGCUUGUCAUGUUUUGGAAUUUUUGUCAGAUUUUCGGAAUCCUCUGAUUUUAUCCAUUUGAAUGCCUUAAAAAAAAUUCCCCAUGAACCCCCAUUUUUUUUUAUAAAUCUUUUACAUGUAUAAUUAUUAAUCAUUUGUAAAAGUCUUAUAAAAUUUUAUUUAUUUUUAAUAGUAUUUGAGAUCUUUAACUGGUCAAUGAUAAAGCUAUGAAAAAUCAAGAGAGAACAUUUUCCCGCCAAAAUUCCAAUGGCUAAUAUCUCGAAAACAACCACAUUGACCCCUAUAAUUUUUUGGCUUUUUUUAUUCCUCAAUUUAUUCCCUAUCAAUACAUACUAGUUUUAUGAAAAGUUAUUUAUUUUGAAACUGAGCAGCGAACAUCCUUAAGCAGACCAUAUUUGGGUCAAAGAUGCCCAUAACAAUGAAAUAUAAUAUAUUAAAUUAUCAUUCAUCAUUACUUUUCAAUUGAAUCAACAAACUUUAUUUAAUAACAAAAUAAUUUUUUUUUUAUUUUCAGUAAACAACACAUCCUGUCAGAACAAUAAUUUUACUGGAGGAUUAAAAUGUUGAUACCUGGAAUCAGCAAUGUAUAUGAAAUUUGUUAUGAGAGAUAUAUUCAUGUACAGAAUGGUAACCGAGGUGCUUCAAGUGUUUAUUAGCAGACAUUUUUGUUGAAUUUAUGCAGAAUGGAAUAAAUGAAACUUAAGCUGACUAUGGGCUC